RNAcentral lists this ribosomal RNA (1297 nucleotides) under metagenome. RNAcentral describes it as "bacterial LSU rRNA". It matches the Rfam family "Bacterial large subunit ribosomal RNA", at positions 1637 to 2925 of the family's 2925-position model. The record is from RNAcentral.
CACGACCGUACCGCAAACCGACACAGGUGCGCGAGAUGAGUAUUCUAAGGCGCUUGAGAGAACUCUGGAGAAGGAACUCGGCAAAUUGACACCGUAACUUCGGAAGAAGGUGUGCCUUUAGUAGGUGAAGUCGUACAGACGGAGCCCAAUGAGGCCGCAGAGAAUCGGUGGCUGCGACUGUUUAUUAAAAACACAGCACUCUGCAAAGACGAAAGUCGACGUAUAGGGUGUGACGCCUGCCCGGUGCUGGAAGAUUAAAUGAUGGGGUGCAAGCUCUUGACUGAAGUCCCAGUAAACGGCGGCCGUAACAGUAACGGUCCUAAGGUAGCGAAAUUCCUUGUCGGGUAAGUUCCGACCUGCACGAAUGGCGUAACGAUGGCCACACUGUCUCCUCCAGAGACUCAGCGAAGUUGAAAUGUUUGUGAUGAUGCAAUCUCCCCGCGGAAAGACGGAAAGACCCCAUGAACCUUUACUGUAGCUUUACAUUGGACUUUGAACAGAUCUGUGUAGGAUAGGUGGGAGGCUUUGAAGCGGUGCCGCUAGGUGUCGUGGAGCCAACGUUGAAAUACCACCCUGGUGUGUUUGAGGUUCUAACCUUGGCCCGUUAUCCGGGUUGGGGACAGUGUAUGGUGUGCAGUUUGACUGGGGCGGUCUCCUCCCAAAGCGUAAUGGAGGAGUUCGAAGGUACGCUAGGCACGGUCGGAAAUCGUGCUGAUAGUGCAUAGGCAUAAGCGUGCUUGACUGCGAGACUGACAAGUCGAGCAGGUACGAAAGUAGGACUAAGUGAUCCGGUGGUUCUGUAUGGAAGGGCCAUCGCUCAACGGAUAAAAGGUACUCUGGGGAUAACAGGCUGAUACCGCCCAAGAGUUCAUAUCGACGGCGGUGUUUGGCACCUCGAUGUCGGCUCAUCUCAUCCUGGGUCUGUAGCCGGUCCCAAGGGUAUGGCUGUUCGCCAUUUAAAGAGGUACGUGAGCUGGGUUUAAAACGUCGUGAGACAGUUUGGUCCCUAUCUUCCGUGGGCGCUGCAAGAUUGAGAGAGCCUGCUCCUAGUACGAGAGGACCGGAGUGGACGCACCUCUGGUGUAUCGGUUGUCACGCCAGUGGCAUUGCCGAGUAGCUAAGUGCGGAAGAGAUAACCGCUGAAAGCAUCUAAGCGGGAAGCUCGUCUCAAGAUGAGUCUUGCCGGGGCCUUGAGCCCCCUGAAGAGUCGUUCUAGACCAGGACGUUGAUAGGCUGGGUGUGGAAGCGCAGUAAUGCGUUAAGCUAACCAGUACUAAUUGCUCGUGCGGCUUGACCC